Molecule: ribosomal RNA, 493 nt
Filed under: uncultured bacterium
Lineage: Bacteria
Description: partial 16S ribosomal RNA
Rfam family: Bacterial small subunit ribosomal RNA
Source: RNAcentral
GACGAACGCUGGCGGCGUGCUUAACACAUGCAAGUCGAACGGAAAGGCCUGCUUUCCCUUGUGGAUUGCGGGUACUCGAGUGGCGAACGGGUGAGUAACACGUGAGUGAUCUGCCCCCAACUUGGGUAUAAGCCUGGGAAACUGGGUCUAAUUCCCGAUAGGACUGCAGGGUGGUGCCUGUGGUGGAAAACGAUUUUCUAGUGGUUGGGAUGAGCUCGCGGCCUAUCAGCUUGUUGGUGGGGUAAUGGCCUACCAAGGCGGCGACGGGUAGCCGGCCUGAGAGGGUGGACGGCCACAUUGGGACUGGGAUACGGCCCAGACUCCUACGGGAGGCAGCAGUGGGGAAUAUUGCACAAUGGGCGGAGGCCUGAUGCAGCGACGCCGCGUGGGGGAUGACGGCCUUCGGGUGGUAAACUCCUUUCGACCGCGAGGAAGCCACCUGGAUGGAAGGGUGGUGACGGUAGUGGUAGAAGAAGCACCGGCUAACUACGUG